RNAcentral lists this ribosomal RNA (277 nucleotides) under uncultured bacterium. RNAcentral describes it as "partial 16S ribosomal RNA". It matches the Rfam family "Bacterial small subunit ribosomal RNA", at positions 79 to 354 of the family's 1533-position model. The record is from RNAcentral.
CUUUCUCCGCCGGCGACCGGCGCACGGGUGAGUAACACGUAUGCAACCUGCCCCUGUCAGGGGGACAACCCGCCGAAAGGCGGGCUAAACCCGCGUACAUGCCACCGGGGCAUCCCGGAGGCAGGAAAGGCUUCGGCCGGGACAGGGAUGGGCAUGCGGCGCAUUAGGCAGUAGGCGGGGUAACGGCCCACCUAACCGACGAUGCGUAGGGGUUCUGAGAGGAAGGUCCCCCACACUGGUACUGAGACACGGACCAGACUCCUACGGGAGGCAGCAG